This 161-nucleotide microRNA precursor is filed under the name Oryza brachyantha (malo sina). RNAcentral's name for it is "MIR812 microRNA precursor family". It matches the Rfam family "MIR812 microRNA precursor family", at positions 27 to 192 of the family's 205-position model. The record is from Rfam by way of RNAcentral. Lineage: Eukaryota; Viridiplantae; Streptophyta; Magnoliopsida; Poales; Poaceae.
UAUAAUAUUUGACUCUUCGUUUUAUUAAAAAUUACGAUUAAUAUUUUUGUUUUUAUUAGACGAUAAAUCAUGAAUAGUAUUUUAUGUGUGACUAUUUUUUUAAUUUUUUCAAAAAAGUUUCAAAUAAGACGGAUAGUCAAACGUUAGACACAGAAACCGAU